GGGUACAGCGGGCCGGCGGCGGGGGUAGUACGGAGGGGGCAGUCGUGAUCCGGAGUCACAGGGGUUAAAGGGUGCGUAGGUGGAUUAGUAAGUCAGGGGUGAAAUCUCCGGGCUUAACCCGGAAACUGCCAUUGAUACUAUUAGUCUUGAAUACCGUGGAGGUCAGCGGAAUAUGUCAUGUAGCGGUGAAAUGCUUAGAUAUGACAUAGAACACCAAUUGCGGAGGCAGCUGGCUACACGAAUAUUGACACUCAGGCACGAAAGCGUGGGGAUCAAACAGGAUUAGAUACCCCAGUAGUC
RNAcentral lists this ribosomal RNA (300 nucleotides) under uncultured Rubritalea sp. RNAcentral describes it as "bacterial SSU rRNA". It matches the Rfam family "Bacterial small subunit ribosomal RNA", at positions 496 to 795 of the family's 1533-position model. The record is from RNAcentral. Lineage: Bacteria; Pseudomonadati; Verrucomicrobiota; Verrucomicrobiia; Verrucomicrobiales; Rubritaleaceae.